AGCAGUCGCCGCGGUAACACGGAGGAUCCAAGCGUUAUCCGGAAUCAUUGGGUUUAAAGGGUCCGUAGGCGGUCUUGUAAGUCAGUGGUGAAAGCCCAUCGCUCAACGGUGGAACGGCCAUUGAUACUGCAGGACUUGAAUUAUUGGGAAGUAACUAGAAUAUGUAGUGUAGCGGUGAAAUGCUUAGAGAUUACAUGGAAUACCAAUUGCGAAGGCAGGUUACUACCAAUUGAUUGACGCUGAUGGACGAAAGCGUGGGUAGCGAACAGGAUUAGAUACCCCAGUAGUCCCUGUCUCUUAUAC
Molecule: ribosomal RNA, 303 nt
Filed under: uncultured bacterium
Lineage: Bacteria
Description: partial 16S ribosomal RNA
Rfam family: Bacterial small subunit ribosomal RNA
Source: RNAcentral